This is a non-coding RNA of Rhincodon typus (whale shark), 405 nucleotides long. The record is from the annotation of a RefSeq genome assembly. Lineage: Eukaryota; Metazoa; Chordata; Chondrichthyes; Orectolobiformes; Rhincodontidae.
AUGUUCGGUGCUCUUUAUCUGCAUCUUCUGUUACUGCUGCUCUCAGGGAGUUGUAAAAGCGCUCUCAUCUCCCAGUGGCCGGAGCGUUUGUCUCUACAAAAGGAGAACACGACAGUCAUGCACUGUUAUCAAAAUGACACUAGCAAUACCAACAUGUACUGGUACCGGCAGCUCAGAGAAGCAGGCCUGCAGCUCGUGGCAACCUCGUUUGGUACCUCAGAGCCCACGUUCGAAGACGAUUUCAAGGCCAGGUUCGAAGGCACCAGGCGCAAUCUUGAGUCGUGCACCGUGAAAAUCCUGAAGCUGCAAGCGUCUGAUACUGCAGUUUAUUUCUGCGCUGCUAGUGAUCACAGCGAUACAAACAAGUGCAGGGUUGUUGCUAAAACUCACGAGUGGUUAGUUUGA